This 305-nucleotide ribosomal RNA is filed under the name uncultured bacterium. RNAcentral describes it as "bacterial SSU rRNA". It matches the Rfam family "Bacterial small subunit ribosomal RNA", at positions 335 to 657 of the family's 1533-position model. The record is from RNAcentral.
GUACCUACGGGGGGCAGCAGUGGGGAAUAUUGCACAAUGGGGGAAACCCUGAUGCAGCGACGCCGCGUGAGCGAUGAAGUAUCUCGGUAUGUAAAGCUCUAUCAGCAGGGAAGAAAGUGACAGUACCUGACUAAGAAGCCCCGGCUAACUACGUGCCGGCAGCCGCGGUAAUACGUAGGGGGCAAGCGUUAUCCGGAUUCACUGGGCGUAAAGGGCGUGUAGCCGGGAAGGCAAGUCAGAUGUGAAAUCCGGAGGCUCAACCUCCGAAUUGCAUUUGAAACUGUUUUUCUUGAGUACUGGAGAGG